AGUCAAUAGAUACCCCGGUAGUCCACGCCGUAAACGAUGAAUACUAGGUGUGGGGGUUGUCAUGACCUCCGUGCCGCCGCUAAACGCAUUAAGUAUUCCGCCUGGGGAGUACGGUCGCAAGAUUAAAACUCAAAGGAAUUGACGGGGGCCCGCACAAGCAGCGGAGCAUGUGGUUUAAAUUCGAAGCAACGCGAAGAACCUUACCUAGACUUGACAUCUCCUGAAUUACUCUGUAAUGGAGGAAGCCCUUCGGGGCAGGAAGACAGGUGGUGCAUGGUUGUCGUCAGCUCGUGUCGUGAGAUGUUGGGUUAAGUCCCGCAACGAGCGCAACCCUUAUUGUUAGUUGCUACCAUUUAGUUGAGCACUCUAGCGAGACUGCCCGGGUUAACCGGGAGGAAGGUGGGGAUGACGUCAAAUCAUCAUGCCCCUUAUGUCUAGGGCUACACACGUGCUACAAUGGCUGGUACAGAGAGAUGCAAUACCGCGAGGUGGAGCCAAACUUCAAAACCAGUCUCAGUUCGGAUUGUAGGCUG
This 533-nucleotide ribosomal RNA is filed under the name uncultured bacterium. Its description in RNAcentral is "bacterial SSU rRNA". It matches the Rfam family "Bacterial small subunit ribosomal RNA", at positions 775 to 1307 of the family's 1533-position model. The record is from RNAcentral.